CCCUUAGAUGUUCUGGGCCGCACGCGCGCUACACUGUUCGACGCAGCGAGUCUUAACCUUGACCGAAAGGUUUGGGUAAUCUUCAGCAAAGUCGAACGUGAUGGGGAUCGAUCAUUGCAAUUAUUGAUCGUGAACGAGGAAUUCCUAGUAAGUGCAAGUCAUCAGCUUGCGCUGAUUACGUCCCUGCCCUUUGUACACACCGCCCGUCGCUACUACCGAUUGAAUGGUUUAGUGAGAUCUCUGGAUUGACGCUGGCUAGGGGGCGACCCCUGGCCAGGCUGUCGAGAAACUGCUCAAACUUGAUCAUUUAGAGGAAGUAAAAGUCGUAACA
This 331-nucleotide ribosomal RNA is filed under the name uncultured eukaryote. RNAcentral describes it as "partial 18S ribosomal RNA". It matches the Rfam family "Eukaryotic small subunit ribosomal RNA", at positions 1470 to 1796 of the family's 1831-position model. The record is from RNAcentral.